AUGAUUUUUAAUUUCAUUUGUCCACUACUUUUUUCAUUCAAAUUAUUUCAUCAUCUGCUCAGAGCAGGAGGGGUAUUAUUUACUACAGAGCUAACUCCCUUCUGGUUGCAGAUGAUGAUUAGAUUGGUGCUACAAAGUCAGAUUUCUCCAGCCUACAAAUGUAGAUUUUGAGAUGGCAAUGCAUUACUGAAUCACCCUCCAAUGUCAUACAUUCAUGUACAAGCAAUUUAACCCCCAUGAUUUGCUAAUCCUGCAUCUGCAGUUUCUACACAUAUAGUGUCUUUACAAAUACCUGUAAAUCACUUAACCAUUGAUUUCAGUGUAUACAUCUUCUCUAGUAGAAGUACAGUACCUUUUUAAAUCAUACUACAUUAUUAAGUCAGUGCCUGAGAUACAUUUUACCUGAAAUUGUAAGAGGCACAAUGUAUCUUGCAGGCUACGUGACAUUUGCUCCAAGCUUUAUUUUAUCAAAUAUUUUGGAUUAGGAUUUGAUCCAAGUUAGGAAUUUUGGUAAGGUUAUGAUUUGAAAGCAGAGCAAUUGUCUUCAGAGGGUGUGUCAUACACUUAUCCCUCAAAGUCCUUCUACAUCAUAUACAUAUAAGAAAGCACAUUGAUAACCUUUCAGGUAGUAUGUGAAGCUGUGAAGUGAUUCAUUUAUGCAAAACAUAUUGAAAAGUUACGUAAGCCCGUUGAAACAUCCAGCAUCCCACAGUGAGAGACCCAAUUAGUCAUGACGGUGAUGAAAAAAUACGCUGACAUGGCAUGGUUACAAUUAUGCCUCCAUGAAUCAGUGGUUGAUGCAAGGACUUUUCAUUUCGAGAAGAGAAAAUCGAAAAAGACAUCGUGUUUGUAGGUGAAACAUCCUGCUUUGAGAGUGACCAUUGGUGGCCGGGGUGAAGUGGAAAACAUUGUCAUCAUUUAUCAUCUGGUUGUAUCAUUGCAUGGAUCAUGCUAAUUGUUGGCGGUUAUAUUGUGGUUUGCAUUAGUAAGCAUAUAUAGUAUACUCUCCUCCAGCAAGCCAAGAAAACAGUGUUUGUUCAGUGAUGAUGAUUAUGAUGAUAUUAUGAUGAUGAUAAUGAUAAUGAAUAACAUCUGUAUGGCACCUUAACAGGAAACUGGGGGAAGUUCAUUCCAUGCCAAAUAUCUUGUCCCUCAAAGUAGCAAUUUUCAUAUUGGUAUCAUCCAACGGCAGUUCUUAAAAAUUGAAAUUUAUUUUAAAGUUCCCUGUUUUUUAUCCAGAGGCCUAAAUUUUGCUAAAAUCUAGAACAUCUCACUCUGUAGGAGACACAUUUGAGAUGAGAAGUGUCAUUUGGAAUGAGCAGUGUCACGUUAAUGUAAGAUCACCCAAUAGCAUCAGAUCCAUCCAGAUGAGUUCAAAGUAUAUCAUAUUUCACCAAUGAUUUCCUUAGAUUUUAACAAUAUUUUUCCAGGGGAGAGUAAUAUAAAGUCCUCUUGUUAUUCACUUGAAAUAUGACACAAGAUCCUUUAUUCCUUAGGGUACAUUUUCCAAAUUUGAUAAAUGCCUUGCCAAAACAAAAUGUCCUUCCUAUAUUUGCAACUCACCUGACGAUUCAUUUUACUUGGUUGCUCAUCACUCCCGAGUGGGUUUUCUUGAAUUGUCUUAUUGAAAACCAGAGACAUAUCCCAGUAAAUCUUUUUAAGCAUCACAAUACAUACCAGAUGGUACCUGAAGGAUGGUACAGUGCAAAAUUAUACAUGAUUGUAAUUAGUGAGUUAGUGACAUGGAGCAAUGUUUUUCUUCCAAGCACUUUCCAUCUUCAGUUGAAGGAACUCUUUUCAUCUCCUCCCAUGAAUCAUUAUGUUUCAUGCCAACGUCCGUCCCACUCUCACAACCUCCAACAGACCAUCUCAAUUAUCCCUCCUCUUUGUGAGUAAUUCAAUCAAGGGACCGACCAAUCAUCAAAGUUUCUGGAACUCCUACAAGAUAACAGAAGGAUGUCUUAAGCAAAAAUUGGUAGAAAUUGCUUGCAAUAACCACUGAAGGCUAUUGCAUCAAGAAAUAUGAUUCAUAUGUGUUUGUAGUUGAUGAUUCUUUGGUUGAGAGGUCUAACUGUUUGUUGGUUCAGUGAAUGCUUUUCUCUUCAGGGUGGUCCAGGAGACAGCUAGCUAAUGAUGGCUUGUCUCGAAGAACAAUGUAACGGCUCCUUCCCAUAUGUUACAUAGGAAGUGUCUGUAUGAGAAGGAAGUAUUCAUUACCUCCAGAGUGCAUACAUACUUCAAUCAGCAUAUGGGAUUAUUUAAAGUAAACAAUGAACAAAAUGAUUCCCUCAGAUAUUAUGUUUCUACCUUUGUUGUUUGUAGCUCUUCAAAGAGCUGAAUGUGUAAGUAAAGAAGACCCUUUUUUCUAUAUUUUGCUUCUUCUUUAUCUUUCAACUCAGCAGUAGACAAGCCACAUUUAUCUGCAGCAUGGCAGGCACUUUGCAUUUUUAUUAUUUUGCAGGCUUUCCAAAUUUAUUUUGCAUGAGAUGCAUUAUAUGAAUGCUUUAUUCCCUGCAUCUAUUCAAAGUAGUAUAGUAAAUAUAUUUUUUGUGCAUUUUUAAUGAUUGUGCUCUUUUAAUGUUAAUGUUUACUUAAUUGAUAAAUUUAUUGAUAUCAAGGCACAUUAGCACAGAAAUUUAUGAAGUCAGCAAACUUGUAGACGAAGGUACAUUGUAUACAUGGACAGUUGUAUUCCAGUCAUCUUCUAUCCGAUCCUGUCACGGUGUACCAAGACUUCUUUUUUUUUUCAUUGUCAUGCUUGCAUGCGUAAAGGUCUUUGACUCCUACAAUAAUCAUUUUAAUGAAAAAGAAUAAUUCCUAUCAUGAGUAAAAGGUUGUGAUUGAUGCUUUAUUAUAUAGUGUUUAGAAAGAUUCCUUGGUUGACAGCCAAGUAAUGAAGGAAAGCACAUUGAUUGGUGAAAGCCAACAGACGGUGUUGAUAGAGUCUUGGUUAUAGGGGCUGAUGGGAAGUGGAUCGACGGAGUAGCCCAGCUAGCUUUCCUGCCUGCAUGCAUGGUUCAGCAGCGUCUGGUUGAGCUAGGAGCAAACCCCAUGAGCUCAGUGGCGGUACAAUGACCGGGAUGCGGACGUGUGUCAGGAAUACAUGCAUCAGCUAUCUCUCUAGCUCUGUUCUUAUUGUGCAAUAGUUGCAUUUUUGUUAUGGACCUGCAGUAGAAGCAGUACUCAGAGUGAGAUGGAGAGGGGGAGAGAAAAAGAGAGAGUGAGAGGGAGAGAAAGAGAGAUACUGGCGGGUUUGAGUUAUAGAGGAGGAAAUAUAGGAAAUAGGAAAAUCAAAGAUGAGCAGAGAUAAUUUGAAACAAGAGUAAGAUUCAGAAAGACCAAGGCAGAUAAUAUAGAGAAAUUGCAUACGGUAGGCCUUUUAGGGAGGAGAAUAGCAAUUGUAAAAAGGCAAACGUUCGAAAAAUUGAGAAGGGUGGAAAUUAUUACAGAAAUUAGUAAAUGGCAACUAUAUGGUAAGAAGUAGAAAGAGGUGAUAUUUGGCCAAAGAGAAAAGAAUGAAAGCUUUGUAAUUUUAAGCCAGAUAACUGAUACUUUAUUGAGGGCCAAUUAGUAUAGGUGUACAAGGUGUACCGUAGGGGGUUCAAGCAUUGAAUUCAGUGAAGCAUACUUAAAGAGGCGGAAAUGCAUGCUUUUCAAGAAGCCAUCCUUAUCAUAGGUGUAUCAAUACCACGAUAUUAGAAAGUGCAGUUUUACCUGGGCACAAAGCAGGAAAAAUGCCUGUUCAUUCUCCCUAAUUCCACCCCAAAAUAACAUUCAUGGAAAAAUUGGCUGUAUAAUACUAUUUCCCAUAUGAGGGCGGGAGCAACAUGUGCAGUCAUGAUCAAGGAUUUGGAAGAACAGUAGCAAGUGUCGGGAGACAUCAGACCAUGGAGGAUGUGGCCUAAAGUUAA
Long non-coding RNA from Strongylocentrotus purpuratus (purple sea urchin), 3911 nucleotides. RefSeq lists it as uncharacterized. NCBI's taxonomy places the organism in Eukaryota, Metazoa, Echinodermata, Echinoidea, Camarodonta, Strongylocentrotidae. The transcript has 2 exons. The record is from RefSeq and is a predicted model, not a curated record.